This 404-nucleotide ribosomal RNA is filed under the name Rhodotorula diobovata. Its description in RNAcentral is "SSU rRNA". It matches the Rfam family "Eukaryotic small subunit ribosomal RNA", at positions 647 to 1054 of the family's 1831-position model. The record is from RNAcentral. Lineage: Eukaryota; Fungi; Basidiomycota; Microbotryomycetes; Sporidiobolales; Sporidiobolaceae.
CUGUCCGCCGGGUCCGCCUUCUUGGUGUGUACUUGUUGGAUGGGACCUUACCUCCUGGUGAACGGCGAUGUCCUUUACUGGGUGUCGUCGCAAACCAGGACGUUUACUUUGAAAAAAUUAGAGUGUUCAAAGCAGGCCUUUGCCCGAAUACAUUAGCAUGGAAUAAUAGAAUAGGACGCGCGUUCCCAUUUUGUUGGUUUCUGAGAUCGCCGUAAUGAUUAAUAGGGAUAGUUGGGGGCAUUUGUAUUCCGACGUCAGAGGUGAAAUUCUUGGAUUGCCGGAAGACAAACUACUGCGAAAGCAUUUGCCAAGGAUGUUUUCAUUGAUCAAGAACGAAGGAAGGGGGAUCGAAAACGAUUAGAUACCGUUGUAGUCUCUUCUGUAAACUAUGCCGACUAGGGAAA